CCCCUUUUACCUUCAAGACAGAUAGAUGACAACUUAAGAGCUGAGAAGAUUAAUCAGCUUCGAAAAAAUAACGAUACGACAUGUGCUAGGAGUAGUAUUUGGCAUAUACUGGCCAAUUUGUGAUUGCAAAUACUAAUUUACAUGCUGACCAUGAAAGAGCUCCAAAGUUUAAUCAGCUUCCUAACUUAAUUGGUGACAGAUAUAUAUGACAGGUAGUACCAGAAUGUCACUUACUGGUUAAUACGGAGUAAUCGAUAGAAGGCAUGCCAUGUACAGUACUAAUUGACAUACUGACUUUAUUCGCCACACUUUGCAGCUUGCAAACACGGGUCUACUCAAAGUACAAAACCCAAAACCCAUGAACAUAGUACCAAGUCACAGUUACAACAGUAAAUAACAGGAGCACCACCACCACAACCUCCCUUCUUUUCCCUAAAUAAAAACUAUGCAGAUCCUAAGUAAACAAGGUACUACUAGAGGAUCUAUGUAGUUUUCGUUAGGUGGGCAUGCAGUGAACACACUCCUCACAUCAGUAACGCAGCAGCUAGGAGCUCGUCGACCUUAAUUAACUUGGCACGAUGGAGCUAGCUAGAAUGGGUAGUCCAUGGCAGGGAGCAUGCCGGGGACGCCAAGCAANNNNNN
RNAcentral lists this long non-coding RNA (642 nucleotides) under Hordeum vulgare. Its description in RNAcentral is "long non-coding RNA (HVUL_LNC003159)". The record is from RNAcentral. Lineage: Eukaryota; Viridiplantae; Streptophyta; Magnoliopsida; Poales; Poaceae.